This 481-nucleotide ribosomal RNA is filed under the name uncultured bacterium. RNAcentral's name for it is "partial 16S ribosomal RNA". It matches the Rfam family "Bacterial small subunit ribosomal RNA", at positions 28 to 507 of the family's 1533-position model. The record is from RNAcentral.
GACGAACGUUGGCGGCGUGCUUAAUACAUGCAAGUCCACUGAAGCAGCGGUAACAAUUUCGCUGUGGAGGUGGCGCACGGGUGACUAACACGUAGGUAAUCUGCCUUUAGGUCUGGCAUAACUCCGGCAAACCGGGGCUAAUAGCAGAUGAUGCAACGGCUCGACAUUGAGACCGUUGUUAAAGCUAUGCCUCCUGAAUAUGAUCCUGCGUCUGGUUAGCUGGUUGGCGGGGUAACGGCCCACCAAGGCAACGAUCAGUAGUUGGUCUGAGAGGAUGAUCAGGCACAGUGGAACUGAGACAAGGUCCAGACUAGGAAGGGAGGGAGCAGUUAGGAAUAAGGGUGAAUGGGAGAAAUCGUCAAGCAGCAACGACGCAUGAGGGACGAAGGUCUUUAGGUUGUAAAGCUGUGUAAGGAAAGAAAAAAGUCCCAAUCUUUGGGACAUGAUGGUACCUAAAGAGUAAGCCCCGGCUAACUACGUG